This 1062-nucleotide long non-coding RNA is filed under the name Takifugu rubripes (torafugu). Its description in RNAcentral is "lncRNA (ENSTRUG00000032366.1)". The record is from RNAcentral. Lineage: Eukaryota; Metazoa; Chordata; Actinopteri; Tetraodontiformes; Tetraodontidae.
AUGUUUUUUUUAGUUAUUGAGUACAACGUGUUUCUACGUAUAUUGACACGAUAUCACAAAGGUGUUUUCUUUCGGGCGAUGAUCGCAAUAGACUGUAGUUUUUUGUCAGUGCGCGGCUCGACAGCGCCCCCGGCGGCCGGCGGUGAGCGCAGCCUCCAGCAGCUCUCGCCUCGUUCAGUCCUCCGCAGCUCCGCCGACUGGAGGGAUGUGACCCCGGAACAGGACGCCUUCCUUCAGCAACACACCAUUCAAACGGAGCACAGAAGAAAGAAAACCUGGACCAGGAGGGAUAGCUGGCAGUCCAGAGCGUUGAAGCAGACACCCUGUCGAUGGCCGGGGCAUUGACGACGGCUGCACCCAGUGGGGAUCCAGGCUGCUGGCAAACGCUCCUAAUCGCCCUCAGUAGCAGCAGAGUGCUUCCCGUCGUUGGUUAAAGCAUGCCUGGCUUGUAUUCCUUUGCACAUUCCCCUGAAACAAUUUUGGAGUGAAAUUAGGACCCUGGGCCUCACCUCGUCUCGUUCCCUCGCCUCUUCAUAUUCAAGGCAGGUGCUUUCCAGCACUUGGCACGGCCCCCUUGAGCUGGAGGGGGACCUCAUCAGCUGCCUGCUCGGACUGUUUGGGAGGGUGGGUCAUGUCAUCUCACAAUCUCUCGCUCUGCUUUUGGCACGAGAAAUUGGCAAUCUGUCAGCUUUAACUGACGCACAGCGUAGCCGGUCGUGGCUUGACUUAAUUCAAGAGCCGCUCGCCCCAGUGUGACCGAGGCCACCAAAUGAAUACAACGCCUUAAUGGUUUUUAAAGCUAGCAAUCUGGUCUUUUCUGGACGGGAUCCCGAGCAUUUACAUGCCUUUAUGUGUGUGUGUGUGUGUGUUUGUUUAUAUAUAUUUAUAUAUAUAUAUAUAUGUCUCCCCCAUCUCUUUGAUCGCACAAGUUUCAGAAUUUUAUGCACUACAUAGACACGGGUGUUUUUGAAAGCUGGCAGCCUUUCCCCCGAGGGACCAGCUUAAGGCAGCAGCUUCUGUUUCAGUUCUUCUGAGGGGCCCUGAGGAGAGAGCUAAGAUGUU